Long non-coding RNA from Oncorhynchus keta (chum salmon), 841 nucleotides. RefSeq lists it as uncharacterized. Lineage: Eukaryota; Metazoa; Chordata; Actinopteri; Salmoniformes; Salmonidae. The transcript is spliced from 3 exons. The record is from RefSeq and is a predicted model, not a curated record.
AUGCUAACCUCCCCUGUUAUUGUAAUGGUGAGAGGUUAGCAUGUUUUAGGGGCUAUGAUAUAAAAUGCUAACCUCCCCUGUUAUUGUAAUGGUGAGAGGUUAGCAUGUUUUAGGGGCUAUGAUAUAAAAUGCUAACCUCCCCUGUUAUUGUAAUGGUGAGAGGUUAGCAUGUUUUAGGGGCUAUGAUAUAAAAUGCUAAGCUCCCCUGUUAUUGUAAUGGUGAGAGGUUAGCAUGUUUUAGGGGCUAUGAUAUAAAAUGCUAAGCUCCCCUGUUAUUGUAAUGGUGAGAGGUUAGCAUGUUUUAGGGGCUAUGAUAUAAAAUGCUAAGCUCCCCUGUUAUUGUAAUGGUGAGAGGUUAGCAUGUUUUAGGGGCUAUGAUAUAAAAUGCUAAGCUCCCCUGUUAUUGUAAUGGUGAGAGGUUAGCAUGUUUUAGGGGCUAUGAUAUAAAAUGCUAAUCUCCCCUGUUAUUGUAAUGGUGAGAGGUUAGCAUGUUUUAGGGGGUAUGAUAUAAAAUGCUAAGCUCCCCUGUUAUUGUAAUGGUGAGAGGUUAGCAUGUUUUAGGGGGUAUGAUGUGUGUCUGUAUCUUUCUCAAGCAUUAUCAUUCAGGAUUCAUUCAGGAUUAUCCGUAACCACGGUAGCGUCCACAUUAAUGUAGAAGUGUCACGAAACAUAUUCUAUUCUCAUCUUCACAAUAAAAGUGAAUCCAAAAUGACACUAUACAUAAUUUACCAUUAGUUUCUAUUGGACAACCAAAACAGACAGGCAAUACAUCCAACACGUUUAUAGAGUCACAAGCUUGAUGUAAUGAUUGUGUGCCUGGUAUAUGGGACAAAACACUAAA